Molecule: ribosomal RNA, 638 nt
Filed under: uncultured bacterium
Lineage: Bacteria
Description: bacterial SSU rRNA
Rfam family: Bacterial small subunit ribosomal RNA (bases 1-544)
Source: RNAcentral
CCUACGGGAGGCAGCAGUGGGGAAUAUUGGACAAUGGGCGCAAGCCUGAUCCAGCCAUGCCGCGUGUGUGAAGAAGGCCUUCGGGUUGUAAAGCACUUUUGUCCGGAAUGAAAAGCCUUGGGUUAAUACCCUGAGGUUCUGACGGUACCGGAAGAAUAAGCACCGGCUAACUUCGUGCCAGCAGCCGCGGUAAUACGAAGGGUGCAAGCGUUACUCGGAAUUACUGGGCGUAAAGCGUGCGUAGGUGGUUUGUUAAGUCUGAUGUGAAAGCCCUGGGCUCAACCUGGGAAUUGCAUUGGAUACUGGCAGGCUAGAGUGCGGUAGAGGAUGGCGGAAUUCCCGGUGUAGCAGUGAAAUGCGUAGAGAUCGGGAGGAACAUCUGUGGCGAAGGCGGCCAUCUGGACCAGCACUGACACUGAGGCACGAAAGCGUGGGGAGCAAACAGGAUUAGAUACCCUGGUAGUCCACGCCCUAAACGAUGCGAACUGGAUGUUGGGUGCAACUAGGCACUCAGUAUCGAAGCUAACGCGUUAAGUUCGCCGCCUGGGGGAGGUACGGUCGCGAGACGUAGAAACGUACGAAAGAAAGUUAGUACGGCGUGAGACGUUAGCCGACGGACGACGACGAGGGGAGGUAGG